Molecule: long non-coding RNA, 647 nt
Filed under: Mytilus galloprovincialis (Mediterranean mussel)
Lineage: Eukaryota; Metazoa; Mollusca; Bivalvia; Mytilida; Mytilidae
Source: RNAcentral
CGGCAUAUCAAAGAACCCCAAUUAUUCAAUUUUUGAUGAAAUCACACAAAGUUCAAUUUUGGACCCUUUGGGCCCCUUAUUCCUAAACUGUAAGGACCAAAACUCCCAAAAUCAAACCCAACCUUCCUUUUAUGGUCAUAAACCUUGUGUUUAAAUUUCAUAGAUUUCUAUUUACUUAUACUAAAGUUAUUGUGCGAAAACCAAGAAUAAUGCUUAUUUGGGCCCUUUUUUGGCCCCUAAUUCCUAAACUGUUGGAACCAAAACUCCCAAAAUCAAUCUCAACCUUUCUUUUGUGGUCAUAAACCUUAUGUCAAAAUUUCAUAGAUUUCUAUUUACUUAAACUAAAGUUAUAGUGCGAAAACCAAGAAAAUGCUUAUUUGGACCCUUUUUGGCCCCUAAUUCCUAAAAUGUUGGGACUAAAACUCCCAAAAUCAAUCCCAACCUUCCUUUUGUGGUCAUAAACCUUGUGUUAAAAUUUCAUAGAUUUCUAUUCACUUUUACUAAAGUUAGAGUGCGAAAACUAAAAGUAUUCGGACGACGACGACGACGACGACGCCGAAGACGACGACGACGCAGACGACGACGCCAACGUGAUAGCAAUAUACGACGAAAUUUUUUUCAAAUUUUGCGGUCGUAUAAAAAUGAAA